AAAGAUUAAGCCAUGCAUGUCUAAGUAUAAGCAAUUAUACGGCGAAACUGCGAAUGGCUCAUUAAAUCAGUUAUCGUUUAUUUGAUAGUACUUUAUUACUUGGAUAACCGUGGUAAUUCUAGAGCUAAUACAUGCUAAAAAUCCCGACUCACGAAGGGAUGUAUUUAUUAGAUUAAAAACCAAUGCCCCUCGGGGCUUAUAGGUGAUUCAUAAUAACUUCUCGAAUCGCAUGGCCUUGCGCUGGCGAUGGUUCAUUCAAAUUUCUGCCCUAUCAACUUUCGAUGGCAGGGUCUUGGCCUGCCAUGGUUUCAACGGGUAACGGAGGGUUAGGGCUCGANNCCGGAGAAGGAGCCUGAGAAACGGCUACUACAUCCAAGGAAGGCAGNAGGNGNNNAAAUUACCCAAUNCCGACACGGGGAGGUAGUGACAAUAAAUACUGAUACAGGGCUCUUUUGGGUCUUGUAAUUGGAAUGAGUACAAUUUAAAUCCCUUAACGAGGAACAAUUGGAGGGCAAGUCUGGUGCCAGCAGCCGCNGUAAUUCCAGCUCCAAUAGCGUAUAUUAAAGUUGUUGCAGUUAAAAAGCUCGUAGUUGAACCUUGGNCCUGGCUGGCCGGUNCGCCUCACCGCGUGCACUGGUCUNGCCGGGCCNUUUCCUCUGGGGAGCCCCAUGCCCUUCACUGGGUGUGGUGGGGAACCAGAACUUUUACUGUGAAAAAAUUAGAGUGUUCAAAGCAGGCCUAUGCUCGAAUACAUCAGCAUGGAAUAAUAGAAUAGGACGUGUGGUUCUAUUUUGUUGGUUUCUAGGACCGCCGUAAUGAUNAAUANNNNCAGUCGGGGGCAUCAGUAUUCAAUUGUCAGAGGUGAAAUUCUUGGAUUUAUUGAAGACUAACUACUGCGAAAGCAUUUGCCAAGGAUGUUUUCANUAAUCAGGAACGAAAGUUAGGGGAUCGAAGACANNNAGAUACCGUCGUAGUCUUNACCAUAAACUAUGNCGACUAGGGAUCGGACGAUGNUAUUUUUUGACUCGUUCGGCACCUUA
Molecule: ribosomal RNA, 1040 nt
Filed under: Xylaria hypoxylon
Lineage: Eukaryota; Fungi; Ascomycota; Sordariomycetes; Xylariales; Xylariaceae
Description: partial small subunit rRNA
Rfam family: Eukaryotic small subunit ribosomal RNA
Source: RNAcentral